This 496-nucleotide ribosomal RNA is filed under the name uncultured bacterium. Its description in RNAcentral is "partial 16S ribosomal RNA". It matches the Rfam family "Bacterial small subunit ribosomal RNA", at positions 30 to 523 of the family's 1533-position model. The record is from RNAcentral.
AUUGAACGCAGGCGGAAUGCUUUACACAUGCAAGUCGAACGGUAGAGGGGGCAACCCCUCGAGAGUGGCGAACGGGUGAGUAAUAUAUCGGAACGUGCCCAGUCGUGGGGGAUAACGUAGCGAAAGUUACGCUAAUACCGCAUACGAUCUAAGGAUGAAAGCGGGGGAUCGCAAGACCUCGCGCGAUUGGAGCGGCCGAUAUCAGAUUAGGUAGUUGGUGGGGUAAAGGCUCACCAAGCGAACGCUCUGUAGCUGGUCUGAGAGGACGACCAGCCACACUGGAACUGAGACACGGUCCAGACUCCUACGGGAGGCAGCAGUGGUGAAUUUUGGACAAUGGACGCAAGUCUGAUCCAGCCAUUCCGCGUGCAUGAUGAAGGCCCUCGGGUUGUAAACUGCUUUUGUACGGAACGAAAAGGUCUCUCUUAAUACGGGGGGCUCAUGACGGUACCGUAAGAAUAAGCACCGGCUAACUACGUGCCAGCAGCCGCCGUAA